GAGUUUGAUCUUGGCUCAGAUUGAACGCUGGCGGCAUGCCUUACACAUGCAAGUCGAACGGCAGCACGGGAGCUUGCUCCUGGUGGCGAGUGGCGAACGGGUGAGUAAUGCAUCGGAACGUAUCCUGGAGUGGGGGAUAACGUAGCGAAAGUUACGCUAAUACCGCAUAUUCUGUGAGCAGGAAAGCGGGGGACCUUCGGGCCUCGCGCUCUUGGAGCGGCCGAUGUCGGAUUAGCUAGUUGGUGAGGUAAAGGCUCACCAAGGCGACGAUCCGUAGCAGGUCUGAGAGGAUGAUCUGCCACACUGGAACUGAGACACGGUCCAGACUCCUACGGGAGGCAGCAGUGGGAAUUUUGGACAAUGGGGGCAACCCUGAUCCAGCCAUGCCGCGUGAGUGAAGAAGGCCUCGGUUGUAAGUACUCUUCGUCGAGGAGGAA
RNAcentral lists this ribosomal RNA (437 nucleotides) under bacterium enrichment culture clone ALO1_GLFRUDD03GV77C. Its description in RNAcentral is "bacterial SSU rRNA". It matches the Rfam family "Bacterial small subunit ribosomal RNA", at positions 9 to 449 of the family's 1533-position model. The record is from RNAcentral.